Molecule: ribosomal RNA, 253 nt
Filed under: uncultured bacterium
Lineage: Bacteria
Description: partial 16S ribosomal RNA
Rfam family: Bacterial small subunit ribosomal RNA
Source: RNAcentral
UACAGAGGGUGCAAGCGUUGUUCGGAAUUAUUGGGCGUAAAGGGCGCGUAGGCGGUGCGGUAAGUCACCUGUGAAACCUCUGGGCUUAACUCAGAGCCUGCAGGCGAAACUGCCGUGCUUGAGUGUGGGAGAGGUGCGUGGAAUUCCCGGUGUAGCGGUGAAAUGCGUAGAUAUCAGGAGGAACACCUGUGGCGAAAGCGGCGCACUGGACCACAACUGACGCUGAGGCGCGAAAGCUAGGGGAGCAAACAGG